Molecule: long non-coding RNA, 549 nt
Filed under: Cotesia glomerata
Lineage: Eukaryota; Metazoa; Arthropoda; Insecta; Hymenoptera; Braconidae
Description: uncharacterized LOC123266547, transcript variant X1
Source: RNAcentral
CCAAUUGCUACCAGAGUUUUCAAAGCAGGAUUCUUCAAUUUCAAUUUGUUGAACCUUCUGAACCCGUCCUUGCCGUAGUUUGUAGCUAUUUAAAGGUUCAAUUUACUCUUCCAUUCGCAGCGGUUAUUUUCUUCAUCGAAGCAAGUAUGAUGAGGACAGGGCUGACGAUUUAACUCAGUGAAACUGCCGUCGAAACCUUCAGAACACAUAACAAAUCCGCAAGUCUCUGGAUCUCGGACGUUUCCAGCUUUGGUACACAGAUUAGUGGAUUACUUUCCUCGUCGUUUGAGGAACCUUUGUCCUCUGAGCCAUUACUGCCCUCUUCUGCACCACCCUCGACUCUUCCCGUCAUUUCUUCUCCAGGAUUACCAUCAGCAACAACUUCGUCAGUAUCACUCGGCUCCAUGGACAUAGGAACGUCAACAUCGACGAACCCAGCUUUGAAGUACAAAAAUGAAGUUAUCAUCGGAAGGGUAGGCCGCGGCCAAACAAAGAGUCGCCAGAAGAAUAAUGAAACGCAUCUGGAAUAAAAAUAUAAUAAUCACUUAA